This 253-nucleotide ribosomal RNA is filed under the name uncultured bacterium. RNAcentral's name for it is "partial 16S ribosomal RNA". It matches the Rfam family "Bacterial small subunit ribosomal RNA", at positions 524 to 776 of the family's 1533-position model. The record is from RNAcentral.
GACAUAGGUCGCGAACGUUAUCCGGAAUUAUUGGGCGUAAAGGAUGCGUAGAUGGUUCAGUAAGUUACUGGUGGGAAAUCGAGGCCUAACCUCGUGGAAGUUAGUAAUACUGUUGAACUUGAGUGCAGGAGAGGUUAACGGAACUUCAUGUGGAGCGGUAAAAUGCGUAGAUAUCGGGAGGAACACCAAUGGCGAAGGCAGCUUGCUGGGACGGUACUGACGCUGAGACGCGAAAGCGUGGGGAGCAAACAGG